GACAGAGGCCUCGAGCGUUAGGCGGAAUCACUGGGCUUAAAGCGUGUGUAGGCGGAUCGUUAAGUACCUUGUGAAAUCCCACGGCUCAACCGUGGAACGGCUGGGUAUACUGGCGGUCUUGGGCCAUUCAGGGGCGACUGGAACAAGCGGUGGAGCGGUGAAAUGCGUAGAUAUCGUAAGGAAGACCAGUGGCGAAGGCGAGUCUCUGGACAGUUACUGACACUGAGGCACGAAGGCCAGGGGAGCAAACGGG
This 253-nucleotide ribosomal RNA is filed under the name uncultured bacterium. RNAcentral's name for it is "partial 16S ribosomal RNA". It matches the Rfam family "Bacterial small subunit ribosomal RNA", at positions 524 to 776 of the family's 1533-position model. The record is from RNAcentral.